This 424-nucleotide ribosomal RNA is filed under the name Verrucomicrobiota bacterium. RNAcentral describes it as "Verrucomicrobia bacterium partial 16S ribosomal RNA". It matches the Rfam family "Bacterial small subunit ribosomal RNA", at positions 355 to 776 of the family's 1533-position model. The record is from RNAcentral. Lineage: Bacteria; Pseudomonadati; Verrucomicrobiota.
UGAGGAAUAUUGGUCAAUGGACGCAAGUCUGAACCAGCCAAGUAGCGUGCAGGAUGACGGCCCUAUGGGUUGUAAACUGCUUUUAUAUGGGGAUAAAGUGGGGAACGUGUUCCCUUUUGCAGGUACCAUAUGAAUAAGGACCGGCUAAUUCCGUGCCAGCAGCCGCGGUAAUACGGAAGGUUCGGGCGUUAUCCGGAUUUAUUGGGUUUAAAGGGAGCGUAGGCCGUUUGGUAAGCGUGUUGUGAAAUGUAGGAGCUCAACUUUUAGAUUGCAGCGCGAACUGGCAGACUUGAGUGCGCACAACGUAGGCGGAAUUCAUGUUGUAGCGGUGAAAUGCUUAGAUAUCAUGACGAACUCCGAUUGCGAAGGCAGCUUACGGGAGCGCAACUGACGCUAAAGCUCGAAGGUGCGGGUAUCGAACAGG